This 348-nucleotide ribosomal RNA is filed under the name uncultured bacterium. RNAcentral describes it as "bacterial SSU rRNA". It matches the Rfam family "Bacterial small subunit ribosomal RNA", at positions 71 to 422 of the family's 1533-position model. The record is from RNAcentral.
CACGGGGGGUAACCCCUGGUGGCGAGUGGCGAACGGGUGAGUAAUAUAUCGGAACAUGCCCUGUAGCGGGGGAUAACGCGUCGAAAGAUGUGCUAAUACCGCAUACGCUCUACGGAGGAAAGCGGGGGUCGCAAGACCUCGCACUAUAGGAGUGGCCGAUAUCGGAUUAGCUAGUUGGCGGGGUAAAAGCCCACCAAGGCAACGAUCCGUAGCUGGUCUGAGAGGAUGAUCAGCCACACUGGAACUGAGACACGGUCCAGACUCCUACGGGAGGCAGCAGUGGGGAAUUUUGGACAAUGGGCGCAAGCCUGAUCCAGCCAUGCCGCGUGAGUGAAGAAGGCCUUCGGG